CGUAUCACUUAAAGCGAUUCAGCGGGUUACGAUUGACGGAGCGAAGCGACGUCAAAGCGUAUACAAAGUCGAGUCGGUUUAAGGAUACGUUCGUUGGGUAGGGGAGCGUUCUGUAAGCCUGUGAAGGUGGCCUGUGAGGGUUGCUGGAGGUAUCAGAAGUGCGAAUGCUGACAUAAGUAACGAUAAAGCGGGUGAAAAGCCCGCUCGCCGGAAGACCAAGGGUUCCUGUCCAACGUUAAUCGGGGCAGGGUGAGUCGACCCCUAAGGCGAGGCCGAAAGGCGUAGUCGAUGGGAAACGGGUUAAUAUUCCCGUACUUGGUGUUACUGCGAAGGGGGGACGGAGAAGGCUAUGUUGGCCGGGCGACGGUUGUCCCGGUUUAAGCGUGUAGGUGUGUGUUCCAGGUAAAUCCGGUUCACUUUAACACUGAGGCGUGACGACGAGGCACUACGGUGCUGAAGCAACAAAUGCCCUGCUUCCAGGAAAAGCCUCUAAGCAUCAGGUAACAUCAAAUCGUACCCCAAACCGACACAGGUGGUCAGGUAGAGAAUACCAAGGCGCUUGAGAGAACUCGGGUGAAGGAACUAGGCAAAAUGGUGCCGUAACUUCGGGAGAAGGCACGCUGACACGUAGGUGAAGUGAUUUACUCAUGGAGCUGAAGUCAGUCGAAGAUACCAGCUGGCUGCAACUGUUUAUUAAAAACACAGCACUGUGCAAACACGAAAGUGGACGUAUACGGUGUGACGCCUGCCCGGUGCCGGAAGGUUAAUUGAUGGGGUCAGCGCAAGCGAAGCUCCUGAUCGAAGCCCCGGUAAACGGCGGCCGUAACUAUAACGGUCCUAAGGUAGCGAAAUUCCUUGUCGGGUAAGUUCCGACCUGCACGAAUGGCGUAAUGAUGGCCAGGCUGUCUCCACCCGAGACUCAGUGAAAUUGAACUCGCUGUGAAGAUGCAGUGUACCCGCGGCAAGACGGAAAGACCCCGUGAACCUUUACUAUAGCUUGACACUGAACAUUGAGCCUUGAUGUGUAGGAUAGGUGGGAGGCUUUGAAGUGUGGACGCCAGUCUGCAUGGAGCCGACCUUGAAAUACCACCCUUUAAUGUUUGAUGUUCUAACGUGGACCCGUAAUCCGGGUUGCGGACAGUGUCUGGUGGGUAGUUUGACUGGGGCGGUCUCCUCCUAAAGAGUAACGGAGGAGCACGAAGGUUGGCUAAUCCUGGUCGGACAUCAGGAGGUUAGUGCAAUGGCAUAAGCCAGCUUGACUGCGAGCGUGACGGCGCGAGCAGGUGCGAAAGCAGGUCAUAGUGAUCCGGUGGUUCUGAAUGGAAGGGCCAUCGCUCAACGGAUAAAAGGUACUCCGGGGAUAACAGGCUGAUACCGCCCAAGAGUUCAUAUCGACGGCGGUGUUUGGCACCUCGAUGUCGGCUCAUCACAUCCUGGGGCUGAAGUAGGUCCCAAGGGUAUGGCUGUUCGCCAUUUAAAGUGGUACGCGAGCUGGGUUUAGAACGUCGUGAGACAGUUCGGUCCCUAUCUGCCGUGGGCGCUGGAGAACUGAGGGGGGCUGCUCCUAGUACGAGAGGACCGGAGUGGACGCAUCACUGGUGUUCGGGUUGUCAUGCCAAUGGCACUGCCCGGUAGCUAAAUGCGGAAGAGAUAAGUGCUGAAAGCAUCUAAGCACGAAACUUGCCCCGA
RNAcentral lists this ribosomal RNA (1689 nucleotides) under Salmonella enterica subsp. enterica. RNAcentral describes it as "partial 23S ribosomal RNA". It matches the Rfam family "Bacterial large subunit ribosomal RNA", at positions 1154 to 2802 of the family's 2925-position model. Lineage: Bacteria; Pseudomonadati; Pseudomonadota; Gammaproteobacteria; Enterobacterales; Enterobacteriaceae. The record is from RNAcentral.